GCACUCGUGGUUCAGUGGUAGGAUGCUCGACUGCCGCGCAUGCGAUCCGGGUUCGAUUCCCGACCAAUGCG
Molecule: non-coding RNA, 71 nt
Organism: Parelaphostrongylus tenuis
Lineage: Eukaryota; Metazoa; Nematoda; Chromadorea; Rhabditida; Metastrongylidae
Source: the annotation of a GenBank genome assembly